This 249-nucleotide unclassified non-coding RNA is filed under the name rhizosphere metagenome. Its description in RNAcentral is "partial ribosomal RNA internal transcribed spacer region". The record is from RNAcentral.
GUAGGUGAACCUGCGGAAGGAUCAUUAUCUAUCCCAUCGGUGUGGCUGCGGCCCCCGGGGCAUCCCCCCGGGCGGUAGAGGUAAAACUCUCACGCUCCACAUACCCGAAUCCUUUUUUUACGAGCACCUUUCGUUCUCCUUCGGUGGGGCAACCUGCCGUUGGAACAUUAAAACUCUUUUUGCAUCUAGCAUUACCUGUUCUGAUAUAUACAAUCGUUACAACUUUCAACAAUGGAUCUCUUGGCUCUG